RNA transcript from Ailuropoda melanoleuca (giant panda), 2383 nucleotides. It is a transcript of the gene named ring finger protein 41, with no coding region annotated. The transcript has 8 exons. Lineage: Eukaryota; Metazoa; Chordata; Mammalia; Carnivora; Ursidae. The record is from RefSeq and is a predicted model, not a curated record.
AGCGGUGGGCGGGGCAAGGGGCCCAUCUCACACGGCGACGAGCGGUUGGAACCUACCCUCUCCUUCCCCUUCCCCUUCCCCUUCCCCUCCCGGGAUAGGCUGGGACCCGGCACCGGAGCUAUCCCGUGGCCGCUGCGGCCUCAGCUCCAGUCGGGCCGGGGUACGGAGAGUCCAGACCGCUUCCAGGGCGAGUGCUCCUGAUUGUGACAUCAAAUCCAUCCCCUUGGCGAUGGAGCUUGUCACUAGGAAGGAAGACUCAGUCGGACAGUAGCCAACAAGAUGGGUUACUGGGAGCAUCUCCUGAGUGGCACUGAGUGGAGGCCUCAGGGGGUUGGAGCCUUGUGAACAGGGAACCUACCCCCCAACACUUGGAAGGACCUGGGUUUCAGUGAUGAGACAUGGGGUAUGAUGUAACCCGUUUCCAGGGGGAUGUUGACGAAGACCUUAUCUGUCCUAUUUGCAGUGGAGUCUUGGAGGAGCCAGUCCAGGCACCUCACUGUGAGCAUGCUUUCUGCAAUGCCUGCAUCACCCAGUGGUUCUCUCAGCAGCAGACGUGUCCAGUGGACCGUAGCGUGGUGACGGUCGCCCACCUGCGCCCAGUACCUCGGAUCAUGCGGAACAUGUUGUCAAAGCUGCAGAUUGCCUGCGACAACGCUGUGUUUGGCUGUAGUGCUGUUGUCCGGCUUGACAACCUCAUGUCUCACCUCAGCGACUGUGAGCACAACCCAAAACGGCCUGUGACCUGUGAACAGGGCUGCGGCCUGGAGAUGCCCAAAGAUGAGCUGCCAAACCACAACUGCAUUAAGCACCUGCGCUCGGUGGUGCAGCAGCAGCAGACGCGCAUCGCAGAGCUGGAGAAGAGCUCGGCCGAGCACAAGCACCAGCUGGCGGAGCAGAAGCGAGAUAUCCAGCUGCUAAAGGCAUACAUGCGUGCAAUCCGCAGUGUCAACCCCAACCUUCAGAACCUGGAGGAGACAAUUGAAUACAAUGAGAUCCUAGAGUGGGUGAACUCCCUGCAGCCCGCAAGAGUGACCCGCUGGGGAGGGAUGAUCUCGACCCCAGAUGCCGUACUCCAGGCUGUAAUCAAGCGCUCCCUGGUGGAGAGUGGCUGUCCGGCCUCUAUUGUCAACGAGCUGAUUGAAAAUGCCCACGAGCGGAGCUGGCCCCAGGGUCUGGCCACCCUGGAGACAAGACAGAUGAACCGGCGCUACUACGAGAACUACGUGGCCAAGCGCAUCCCCGGCAAGCAGGCCGUCGUCGUGAUGGCCUGCGAGAACCAGCACAUGGGCGAUGACAUGGUGCAGGAGCCGGGGCUUGUCAUGAUCUUCGCGCAUGGCGUGGAAGAGAUAUAGGAGUCUCGACGGGCUCGCGGGAAGGGACGGCGAGCAGAAAACCCAUCACUCCAGCAGCUGGCCCCUGAGUCCUCCGUCCUCUCCACAGUACCGUGGCCUACACGUGGGCUGCACGUUUCCCUCCUCUUCUGGCCCUGAAGGGCCCAGGGCACUUUGCUCAGCCUUUCAGGAAAGGCCAAGGGAGUCCUCGGCUGAACCUAUGUCCGCCCCAACCCUCCAUUACCCCACCUGAGAUGAGGUGCUUCCUCUGUUCCAGUGAUGGAUGCGACAGUCCAGCAUUGAUGCCUGUGCCCUCUGGAGAACUUUGCUCCCAGUCCUUCCACGGGUCUCCUUGUAAAACUCUGUAUUUAUAGAGUAUUAAUUUUGAAGACAUUUCCACCUCCCAAUCCCCAGUUUCCUUGGAGAUCCAGAAUUGGAUUCUAAGCUUCACCAGACCAGGGGGGGAGAGACAUGAUGUCUCUGUGUCUCUGAGUACAGGCUGUGCUCUGGUCUCACCCAUGUGCUCUGAGGACUUCAGCUCCAUUUUCGGCUACCCAGCAUUCCUUGAUCCCUGGGGUGGCUGGUAGAGUAAGAGAAGCGGCAGGAUAGAGGGUGUGAUUAUUUUAAUAGGCAGGUGGGAGUGGGGUGGAAGAGAUCUGGCCAUAUAACAGCUUCUCUCUUUGGAGUUUUAACCAGGCCAGCUUGUUGUAGGUCUGGGGAGUUGGGUCAGGGCUCCACUGGGAAUGGGGAGGAGGGAUACAGCUUGAAGGGAGUAGGGAACAGUCCUGUGUUCCAGCUCCAGGACACUGUGCUCAGGAAUUUGAAAACGCUGCUAUACUUAGUCUGGUUACUACAUUUCUUCCACUCCCCUUUGCCCCUGCCUGCCUUACCAAGGCCCAUACCCUCCUGUCAUCACCCGCCGACGGAGCCAGGAAGCUCAGUCAGGGCUUCCCUCCCCUUUGUACUAGUGUCUCUGCGGGUUGCUGGUUGUGUUAUAUGUGCUGGUCCAUGGUGUUAACUGCACUAAUAAUAAACCUUUUACUCAACUCUCA